UGGCGGACGGGUGAGUAACGCGUGAGUAACCUGCCCUUAGGAAAGUGAUAGCGUCUGGAAACGGACGGUAAUACCAUAUAAAGUAUAUUAACGGCAUCGUAGAUAUACCAAAGCUGAGGCGCCUAAGGAUGGACUCGCGUCUGAUUAGAUAGUUGGUGGGGUAACGGCCUACCAAGUCGACGAUCAGUAGCCGGACUGAGAGGUUGAACGGCCACAUUGGUACUGAGACACGGCCCAGACUCCUACGGAAGGCAGCAG
RNAcentral lists this ribosomal RNA (258 nucleotides) under uncultured bacterium. RNAcentral describes it as "partial 16S ribosomal RNA". It matches the Rfam family "Bacterial small subunit ribosomal RNA", at positions 96 to 354 of the family's 1533-position model. The record is from RNAcentral.